RNAcentral lists this ribosomal RNA (497 nucleotides) under uncultured bacterium. Its description in RNAcentral is "partial 16S ribosomal RNA". It matches the Rfam family "Bacterial small subunit ribosomal RNA", at positions 28 to 507 of the family's 1533-position model. The record is from RNAcentral.
GAUGAACGCUGGCGGCGUGCCUAAUACAUGCAAGUCGAGCGAACAGACGAGGAGCUUGCUCCUCUGACGUUAGCGGCGGACGGGUGAGUAACACGUGGAUAACCUACCUAUCAGACUGGGAUAACUUCGGGAAGCCGGAGCUAAUACCGGAUAAUAUAUUGAACCGCAUGGUUCGAUAGUGAGAGACGGUUUUGCUGUAACUUAUAGAUGGAUCCGCGCCGCAUUAGCUAGUUGGUGAGGUAACGGCUUACCAAGGGAACUAUGCGUAGCCGACCUGAGAGGGUGAUCGGCCACACUGGAACUGGGCCACGGUCCAGACUCCUGCGGGAGGCAGCAGUAGGGAACCUUCCGCAAUGGGCGAAAGCCUUGCGGAGCAACGCCGCGUCAGUGAUGAAGGUCUUCGGAUCGUAAUACUCUGUUAUUAGUGAAGAACAAAUGUGUAAGUAACUAUGCACGGCUUGACGGUACCUAAUCAGAAAGCCACGGCUAACUACGUG